Camelus dromedarius (Arabian camel) is the source of this 898-nucleotide long non-coding RNA. RefSeq lists it as uncharacterized. The transcript has 5 exons. The record is from RefSeq and is a predicted model, not a curated record. Lineage: Eukaryota; Metazoa; Chordata; Mammalia; Artiodactyla; Camelidae.
ACUACGGUGUUGGAGAAACAAAAGUUGCAAGUUAUGAAAAUGAUGAAGAUUUUCAUGAAGUCAAUGGAAGUGAUAUUGGGAUCUGAUUAACAAGUGAAAAGUUGACAGAGUCAGAAAGUUAACAAGGAACAGAAAGUCAACAAGCAUGAUGUUCAGUCUGUGAUCCAGCUGGAGUUCAUUUUUGUGUCUGGUGUGAGAUGUAUCUCUCCGAAGUUAUAAAGUCAAUUUGAUUUUUCCUGAAUAAUCACGUCACACCCUGAGGUGAUGAAAGAAGAUUCGAGGCCCCAGCUGCUUUCCUGUAUUCAAAACUGGUUGAAAGCGUGAAGUUUUAUUCCUCUUGUUGUUGAUAUAAAAGGCAUGGAGUUCAGAGAAUCCACGAUGAUAACUAUGGAGAUGAAAAGAUUGACGGUGAGGAGUCAUUAUGGAGUUAGCUUGACAACUGAAAUUGACCUCACAGCUCUGCCCCCCAAGAAAACCCUUGACUGCAAUCUCUGACAUUAUAACUCUCUGCAGUCUUUAUCUUGGACCUUUGAGAUUUGAAGCUGCCACAUAUGUGAACUAUGGUCAGUUAUAUACCAACCAGUUUUAUUCACCAGGGAUCAAGCUGAGACCAAGUAAGCAGCUUGCCAUACUUCUGAAAUUAAUAGCUAUCUUGACAAGGGUUGUUUGUCUUUUUCUCUUAUUUUAAUUGAUGAACACUUACUGGAUCUCUAGAGAAUAAGUGACUUAGGCUACGUGGUCCAGAAUAGUAGAUUGAGCCGCUAAAUUUUAACCCUUUAGUUAGGUUUUUUUCUCCCUCCCUGGCUCCUAAAAUAAGAGUUGAACAGUUAAAAAUGUCUAGUUGUUUUUCUCAUUAUGUAGUUUUUCACAUGUAGCGCCAUGUUGAUUUUGUUCCUGU